UACGGAGGGAGCUAGCGUUGUUCGGAAUUACUGGGCGUAAAGCGCACGUAGGCGGCUUUGUAAGUUAGAGGUGAAAGCCCGGGGCUCAACCCCGGAAUUGCCUUUAAGACUGCAUCGCUUGAAUCCAGGAGAGGUGAGUGGAAUUCCGAGUGUAGAGGUGAAAUUCGUAGAUAUCGUGAGGAAGACCAGUUGUGAAGGCGGAUCUCUGGGCAGUUCCUGACACUGAGGCACGAAGGCCAGGGGAGCAAACGGG
RNAcentral lists this ribosomal RNA (253 nucleotides) under uncultured bacterium. RNAcentral describes it as "partial 16S ribosomal RNA". It matches the Rfam family "Bacterial small subunit ribosomal RNA", at positions 524 to 776 of the family's 1533-position model. The record is from RNAcentral.